RNAcentral lists this ribosomal RNA (254 nucleotides) under uncultured bacterium. Its description in RNAcentral is "partial 16S ribosomal RNA". It matches the Rfam family "Bacterial small subunit ribosomal RNA", at positions 524 to 776 of the family's 1533-position model. The record is from RNAcentral.
GACGAACCGUGCGAACGUUAUUCGGAAUCACUGGGCUUAAAGCGCGUGUAGGUGGGGCGGCACGUCGGCCGUUGAGAGCCCCCGGCUUAACCGGGGAAGCGGCGCCGAUACGACCGCCCUCGAGGGACGUAGGGGGAGCUGGAACUUCCGGUGGAGCGGUGAAAUGCGUUGAGAUCGGAAGGAACGCCCGUGGCGAAAGCGAGCUCCUGGACGUUUUCUGACACUGAGACGCGAAAGCCAGGGGAGCGAACGGG